GGGGCUGUAGCUCAGUUGGUCAGAGCACCUGCUUUGCAAGCAGGGGGUCAGGAGUUCGACUCUCCUCAGCUCCACCA
RNAcentral lists this transfer RNA (77 nucleotides) under bacterium. Its description in RNAcentral is "tRNA-Ala". It matches the Rfam family "tRNA". Rfam says of the family: Transfer RNA (tRNA) molecules are approximately 80 nucleotides in length. The record is from RNAcentral. RNAcentral also lists the same sequence under 1 other name.